This 2465-nucleotide ribosomal RNA is filed under the name metagenome. RNAcentral describes it as "bacterial LSU rRNA". It matches the Rfam family "Bacterial large subunit ribosomal RNA". The record is from RNAcentral.
GGCUAGCUUGGUCUUGGAAAAAUUGGACGUUAUUGUAACGAAAUGUUCUGGUUUAAAGCAAUUCUUGAUCCAGUAACAAUCCAUAAUGAAAACAUUUUUGUAGAAAAUAAUAUUGAAAGUCUUUUGAUAUUAAAAUUUAGACAAAUUGAAACAUCUUAGUAGUCUAUUCAAUAAAUCAACCGAGAUUUUGUUAGUAGUGGUGAGCGAAAGCAAAUUAGAUUUUUUGUAAAUUCGUGUUUUUUCAGAAUUAACCAGAGAAGGUAUCCAGUCCUGUAAGUUAAAAUAGUUUUUAUAAAGUUAGUAAAACAAAAGUCUUAUUUUGUUUGAAGAGUGGGGUCCCACCCUCAAAAUCUAAAGACAGUUCCAAGAAUCGAUAGCGAACAAGUACCGUGAGGGAAAGCUGAAACAGAACUUAUGAGAGUGAAAAGAUUUAAAAUUCAAUUUUAAUUAGCAGUCGGUAUUACGGCGUGCCUUUUGCAUAAUGAGUCAAUGAGUUUUUUGUAGAAGCAAGCUAAAAGGCGAAAGUUUUUACAAAAAGACCCGAAACCAGGUGAUCUAGCCAUGAUCAGGCUGAAAACUUUCCCGUAAGGGAAGUUGGAGGGCCGAACCCGUGUAUGUGGAAGAAUGCUGGGAUGAAUUGUGGCUAGGGGUGAAAGGCUAAUCAAACCUGGAGAUAGCUGGUUUUUUGCGAAAUAUAUUUAAGUAUAGCGUUUAAAAAUGNUCANUUGGGGUAGAGCACUUUUUAGGUGAUGGGGAUUUUCGAAUUUUACUGAUCUUAGAAAAACUCCGAAUACAAGUGAGAUUAUUUAAACAGUCGGACAGUAGGAGCUAAGUUCUACUGUCGAGAGGGAAACAGCCCAGACUUUUAAUUAAGGCCCCNAAUUANAUUUUAGUUGGAAAGAAGUAAAAAAGUAAAGACAUUCUUGGAGUAGGCUUGGAAGCAGCCAUCUAUAAUAAAAUGCGUAACAGCUUGAAGAGAGAACUUUUUUGCGCUGCUAAUGUAAGGGAUUAAAAUUUAAGCCGAAAUUAAAGAUAAUUANAUAUUAUGGUAGCAAAACGUCUUUUAAAGCUAAGAAGCUAUUUUGUAAAGAAUAGUGGAGCUAUGAAGAGUGUAUAUAUUGACAUAAGUAGCGAUAAACAAUGUUAAGAAUCAUUGUCGCCCUAAGCUCAAUGGAUCCAAUGUUAAAUUUGAUUUCGUUGGCAGUGAACCGGCCCCUAAGACUUAAGCGGCAGCUUUUUAGACGAUGGGAUUAGCUUGUGUGACGAAAAGAAAAGCAUAUAAUUUAUUAUCGACUUUAAAUUGUGUGUUUACUUUUCCAAGAAAUAGCACAAGUAUUAGAAAAACCGUACACUAAUCCGACACAGGUGAGUGGGUAGAGUAUACUAAGGCGGAUGAGAUAAUCUAUGUAAAGGAACUCGGCAAAAUUAUCCUGUAACUUCGGGAGAAGGGAUGACAACUUGUGGGCAACCAAAAGUUGUUGGCACAGAAAUGGAGGUAGCAACUGUUUAUUAAAAACACAGGUCUCUGCUAAUUCGUAAGAAGAUGUAUAGGGACUGACGCCUGCCCGGUGCUGUAAAGUUAAGGGGAGAGGUUUUGGCUUCAAACUUAAGCUCCAGUAAACGGCGGCUGUAACUCUGACGGUCCUAAGGUAGCGAAAUUCCUUGUCGGGUAAUUUCCGACCCGCAUGAAUGGCGUAAUGACUUCCUUACUGUCUCUACAUAGAACUCAGUGAAAUUGAAAUAUUUGUGCAGAUGCGAAUUUGUAGCAGCUAGACGGAAAGACCCCGUGCACCUUUACUAUGUUUAUAAAUUGAAAUAAGAAACUUGUCGUCUAGUCUAGGUGGGAGCAAUAGCGCCGUUGGAAAACCACUCAUCAUUUUUCUUUUUUCUAAGAUCAAUAGAUUCGAUAUUUUAUAUGAGGUAGUUUGACUGGGGCGGUCGCCUCCUAAAGAGUAACGGAGGCGUGCAAAGGUAGGCUCAAGUGAAGAUCUCACUGUAGAGUGUAAUGGCAAAAGCCUGCUUGACUGCGUGAUUUAUACAUCUAGCAGGAACGAAAGUUGGCCAUAGUGAUCCGGUGAUUCUGUGUGGAAAGAUCAUCGCUCAACAGAUAAAAGGUACGCCGGGGAUAACAGGCUUAUACUUCUUAAGAGUUCCUAUCGACGGAAGUGUUUGGCACCUCGAUGUCGGCUCAUCACAUCCUGGAGCUGAAGGUGGUUCCAAGGGUUCGGCUGUUCGCCGAUGAAGGUGAUACGCGAGCUGGGUUUAGAACGUCGUGAGACAGUUCGGUUCCUAUCUACUGUUACUGUUGAAAACUGAGAGAACUAGACCUUAGUACGAGAGGACCGGGAAAAGUGAGUCCAUGGUUUACCAGUUGUUUUGUCAAAAGCACGGCUGGCUAGCUACACUCAUAAGAGAUAAUCGCUGAAAGCCUAUAAGCGAGAAACUCGUCUCAAAAUUAGUUUUCA